CGGAGGGUGCGAGCGUUGUCCGGAUUUAUUGGGUUUAAAGGGUGCGUAGGCGGCCGCGUAAGUCUGGGGUGAAAGCCCGUUGCUCAACAACGGAACUGCCCUGGAAACUGCGCGGCUUGAGUCCAGACGAGGUUGGCGGAAUGGGCGGUGUAGCGGUGAAAUGCAUAGAUACCGUCCAGAACCCCGAUUGCGAAGGCAGCUGACUAGGCUGGUACUGACGCUGAGGCACGAAAGCGUGGGGAGCGAACAGGAUU
Molecule: ribosomal RNA, 254 nt
Filed under: uncultured bacterium
Lineage: Bacteria
Description: partial 16S ribosomal RNA
Rfam family: Bacterial small subunit ribosomal RNA
Source: RNAcentral